CAACUUUCACCAAUGGAUCUCUCGGCUCUUGCAUCGAUGAAGAACGUAGCGAAUUGCGAUAAUUGUUGCGAAACGCAGCACGUGAGUCAUCGAAUUUUUGAACGCACAUUGUACCUUUUCUUACGAUUAGGUCUGCCUGUUUGAGCUUCAGUU
This 153-nucleotide ribosomal RNA is filed under the name Harpella melusinae. RNAcentral's name for it is "partial 5.8S ribosomal RNA". It matches the Rfam family "5.8S ribosomal RNA". From Rfam's summary of the family: 5.8S ribosomal RNA (5.8S rRNA) is a component of the large subunit of the eukaryotic ribosome. The record is from RNAcentral. Lineage: Eukaryota; Fungi; Kickxellomycota; Harpellomycetes; Harpellales; Harpellaceae.